UGCUGGGUAUCAAUAUUAUCAUAACAGUAUCCUCUGACCUUGUUGGGUAUCAAUAUAAUCAUAACAACAUCCUCCGACCUUGCCGGGUAUCAAUAUCAUCAUAACCAUACAUGUAUAUAGAUAUAUAUAAUUGUUGCAUAGACACAAGCCGUAGCUAAAAUAAUGUAAAUUCAUAAGUGUUUUCCGAAAUAAUCUUCGGGACUAAAUCAUUGUAAGAAUGUAGAAAGGGUCAGAAUAUCUCAC
Molecule: long non-coding RNA, 243 nt
Filed under: Capsicum annuum
Lineage: Eukaryota; Viridiplantae; Streptophyta; Magnoliopsida; Solanales; Solanaceae
Description: long non-coding RNA (CANN_LNC000349)
Source: RNAcentral